CUUAACAAUAGGUAUGGGACAGUCAAUGGUACAAAGAUUUUUGAAGUAAAACAAGAGUUAGCAUCUACUACUCAGGGAUCCUUAGACAUAGCAUCUUAUUUCAACAAGUUGAAGAGGUUAUGGGAUGAACUGGGUUUUAUGCAAGCCUCAAGAGGUAGUACAUGUACAUGUGCUGCCAAGAUUGAGUUUCAAAAUGAGGAUGAUGAGAAUAAAUUGCACCAAUUCCUCAUGGGGCUUAAUGACACAUGUUAG
Molecule: long non-coding RNA, 252 nt
Filed under: Nicotiana benthamiana
Lineage: Eukaryota; Viridiplantae; Streptophyta; Magnoliopsida; Solanales; Solanaceae
Description: long non-coding RNA (NBEN_LNC004886)
Source: RNAcentral